RNAcentral lists this long non-coding RNA (1358 nucleotides) under Chrysolophus pictus (golden pheasant). RNAcentral's name for it is "lncRNA (ENSCPIG00010002326.1)". Lineage: Eukaryota; Metazoa; Chordata; Aves; Galliformes; Phasianidae. The record is from RNAcentral.
AUGGGGUCAGUAAUAGGGUCUCACUGAUGGGAUCCCAUUUAUGGGUUUGGGGUCUCACCUAUGGGGUCUCGCUUAUGGGGCCCCACUUAUGGGGUCAUUGAUGGACCUGGGCUCUCGCUUAUGGGGUCUCGCUUAUGGGGUCUCACUUAUGGGGUCAGUGAUGGGUCUGGGGUCCCACUUAUGGGGUCUCACUUAUGGGUCUGGGGUCUCCCUUAUGGGGUCAGUGAUGGGUCUGGGGUCUCCCUUAUGGGUCCGGGGUCUGCCUUAUGGGGUCCCAUUUAUAGGGUCUCCCUUAUGGGCCUGGGGUCUCUUUUAUGGGGUCACCAAUGAAUCUGGUGUCUCCCUUAUGGGGUCAGUGAUGGGUCUGGGGUCUCCCUUAUGGGGUCCCACUUAUAGGGUCUCGUUUAUGGGGUCAGUGAUGGGUUUGGAGUUUCCCUUAUGGGGUCUGUCUUAUGGGGUCUCUCUUAUGGGGUCACUGAUGGGUCUGGGAUCCCACUUACGGGGUCUCCUUUAUGGGGUCAGUGAUGGGUCUGGGGUCCCCCUUAUGGGGUCCGACUUUAUGGGGCAGUGAUGGGUCUGGGUCUCCCUUAUGGGGUCCCACUUAUGGGGUCUCUCUUAUGGGGUCUCCCUUAUGGGGUCACUGAUGGGUCUGGGGUCUGACUUACGGGGUCUGACUUACGGGGUCAGUGAUGGGUCUGGGGUCCCACUUAUGGGGUCUCCCUUAUGGGGUCUCAUUUAUGGGGUUAGUUAUGGGUCUGGGAUCUGUCUUAUAGGAUCUCACUUAUGGGGUCUCAUUUAUGGGGUCUCACUUAUGGAGUCACUGGUGGUUCUGGGGUCCCACUUAUGGGGUCCCACUUAUGGGGUCUCAUUUAUGGGUCUGGGGUCCCACUGAUGGGGUUUCUCUUAUGGGGUCCUACUUACGGGUCUGGGGUCUCAUUUAUGGGGUCACUUAUGGGUCUGGGGUCCCACUUAUGGGGUCCCACUUACGGGGUCCUCCUUAUGGGGCCUCCCUUAUGGGGUCUCACUUAUGGGGUCACUGAUGGGUCUGGGGUCUCCCUUAUGGGGUCUCCCUUAUGGGGUCCCACUUAUGGGGUCCUAUUUAUGGGGUCACUGAUGGGUCUGGGGUCUCCCUUAUGGGGUCUCCCUUAUGGGGUCCCACUUAUGGGGUCCUAUUUAUGGGGUCACUGAUGGGUCUGGGGUCUCCCUUAUGGGGUCUCCCUUAUGGGGUCUGACUUAUGGGGUCUCCCUUAUGGGGUCACUGAUGGGUCUGGGGUCUCCCUUAUGGGGUCCCACUUAUGGGGUUUCCCUUACAGGGUCACUUAUGGGUCUGGGGUCUCUCUUAUGGGGUCUCUCUUAUG